AAGACAAGGGUUUAGCAAGAGGAAGGGAUGGAAGGAACAGGUAGGGUGGUUUUUCCUUCUGAGGCUAUGGUGGCUAGCCUAAAGCCACCAAUAGAGCCAUAACAAUCUUAAGUUGGAAUUGUCAUGGAGCCGAGCAAGCCCUAACAAUGAGAAGUCUCAGAGAGUUGGUCUCUGCCAAUAAACCCAGGGUUGUUUUUCUAUUGAAAACUAAAAAUUCUAGUUCAUUUAUGGAAAAGUGGAAAAUUCAUUUGGGUUUUCAUGAUUUGUUCUAUGUUGAACUUGAAGGAUUAUUUAGAGGAUUAGCUUUGUGGUGGAUUGAUCCUAUUAAUAUCCAGAUUUUGUCA
RNAcentral lists this unclassified non-coding RNA (344 nucleotides) under Hevea brasiliensis (rubber tree). Lineage: Eukaryota; Viridiplantae; Streptophyta; Magnoliopsida; Malpighiales; Euphorbiaceae. The record is from RNAcentral.